GGGAACGUGGCUCGGUGGUAGAGCACUUGCCUUGCAUGCAUGAGGCACUGGAUUCGAUUCCU
This 62-nucleotide transfer RNA is filed under the name Dipodomys ordii (Ord's kangaroo rat). It matches the Rfam family "tRNA", at positions 1 to 61 of the family's 71-position model. From Rfam's summary of the family: Transfer RNA (tRNA) molecules are approximately 80 nucleotides in length. Their secondary structure includes four short double-helical elements and three loops (D, anti-codon, and T loops). Lineage: Eukaryota; Metazoa; Chordata; Mammalia; Rodentia; Heteromyidae. The record is from Rfam by way of RNAcentral.